RNAcentral lists this ribosomal RNA (460 nucleotides) under uncultured bacterium. Its description in RNAcentral is "partial 16S ribosomal RNA". It matches the Rfam family "Bacterial small subunit ribosomal RNA", at positions 338 to 795 of the family's 1533-position model. The record is from RNAcentral.
CCUACGGGUGGCUGCAGUGAGGAAUAUUGGUCAAUGGGCGCGAGCCUGAACCAGCCAAGUAGCGUGAAGGAUGACUGCCCUACGGGUUGUAAACUUCUUUUAUAAAGGAAUAAAGUGAGGCACGUGUGCCUUUUUGUAUGUACUUUAUGAAUAAGGAUCGGCUAACUCCGUGCCAGCAGCCGCGGUAAUACGGAGGAUCCGAGCGUUAUCCGGAUUUAUUGGGUUUAAAGGGAGCGUAGAUGGGUUGUUAAGUCAGUUGUGAAAGUUUGCGGCUCAACCGUAAAAUUGCAAUUGAUACUGGCAGUCUUGAGUACAGUUGAGGUAGGCGGAAUUCGUGGUGUAGCGGUGAAAUGCUUAGAUAUCGCGCAGAACCCCGAUUGCGAAGGCAGCGUGCCGUGCCGCCACUGACGCUGAGGCACGAAAGCGCGGGGAUCGAACAGGAUUAGAUACCCGGGUAGUC